AUUGAACGCUGGCGGCAGGCCUAACACAUGCAAGUCGAGCGGAUGAAGGGAGCUUGCUCCUGGAUUCAGCGGCGGACGGGUGAGUAAUGCCUAGGAAUCUGCCUGGUAGUGGGGGAUAACGUCCGGAAACGGGCGCUAAUACCGCAUACGUCCUGAGGGAGAAAGUGGGGGAUCUUCGGACCUCACGCUAUCAGAUGAGCCUAGGUCGGAUUAGCUAGUUGGUGGGGUAAAGGCCUACCAAGGCGACGAUCCGUAACUGGUCUGAGAGGAUGAGCAGUCACACUGGAACUGAGACACGGCCCAGACUCCGACGGGAGGCAGCAGUGGGGAAUAUUGGAAAAUGGGCGAAAGCCUGAUCCAGCCAUGCCGCGUGUGUGAAGAAGGGCUUCGGAUUGUAAAGCACUUUAAGUGGGGAGGAAGGGCAGUAAGUUAAUACCUUGCUGUUUUGACGUUACCAACAGAAUAAGCACCGGCUAACUUCGU
Molecule: ribosomal RNA, 483 nt
Filed under: uncultured bacterium
Lineage: Bacteria
Description: partial 16S ribosomal RNA
Rfam family: Bacterial small subunit ribosomal RNA
Source: RNAcentral